UUAUCAGACUUGUUGCAAGGUUGUUCCAAGAAGUACGAUACAGUCAUGAUAUAACAAUAUUGUUACAACUUCGUGUCGUCAACCUUGUAACAUUCUUGUUAUAUCACGACUGUAUCAGACUUGUUAGAACAACCUUGUAACAAGUCUGAUAA
RNAcentral lists this microRNA precursor (152 nucleotides) under Paramuricea clavata. The record is from RNAcentral. Lineage: Eukaryota; Metazoa; Cnidaria; Anthozoa; Malacalcyonacea; Plexauridae.